GAUGAAGAACGCAGUGAAAUGCGAUAAGUAAUGUGAAUUGCAGAAUUCAGUGAAUCAUUGAAUCUUUGAACGCACAUUGCGCCCCCUGGCAUUCCGGGGGGCAUGCCUGUUCGAGCGUCAUUACAACCCUCAAGCUCUGCUUGGUAUUGGGCUCUGCCGGUCCCGGCAGGCCUUAAAAUCAGUGGCGGCGCCACUCGGCUUCAAGCGUAGUAAUUCUUCUCGCUUCGGAGACCCGGGUGCGUGCUAGCCAGCAACCCCCAACUUUCUCAGGUUGACCUCGGAUCAGGUAGGGAUACCCGCUGAACUUAAGCAUAUCAAUAAGCGGAGGA
RNAcentral lists this unclassified non-coding RNA (329 nucleotides) under soil metagenome. RNAcentral's name for it is "partial contains 5.8S ribosomal RNA, internal transcribed spacer 2, and large subunit ribosomal RNA". The stretch from base 1 to 120 matches the Rfam family "5.8S ribosomal RNA", at positions 35 to 154 of the family's 154-position model. The record is from RNAcentral.